CACAUCAACCAAAGUCUAAACUUGGUUGGUAUACAUGGAGUUUAUUUCAAAUUUUCUGGUAUUGAGCCAUUUGUCAGAGUCACUACUCAUGACAGCUUUCGAAUAGAUUAUGAGAUCAUCAUUCUCAGUGAUGUGGGAUGUAUUGUCAUUCUCAAUGAUAAAUCCAUACCUGAGUGGUACAUUAUGCACUCUACUUGACCUUC
RNAcentral lists this long non-coding RNA (203 nucleotides) under Elaeis guineensis (African oil palm). RNAcentral describes it as "long non-coding RNA (EGUI_LNC057247)". The record is from RNAcentral. Lineage: Eukaryota; Viridiplantae; Streptophyta; Magnoliopsida; Arecales; Arecaceae.